CGACCCUUAAGCCCUGUUGCUUAGCGUUGGGAGUCUGCGUCUUCGGCGCAGUUCCUUAAAAUCAGUGGCGGAGUCAGGGCACCCUCUAGGCGUAGUAGUUUUAACGCCUCGCCUCUAGAGUGGCCCCGGCCUCCUGCCGUAAAACCCCUACAACUUCUAGU
This 161-nucleotide unclassified non-coding RNA is filed under the name uncultured fungus. Its description in RNAcentral is "sequence contains ITS2". The record is from RNAcentral. Lineage: Eukaryota; Fungi.